CCCAGACUCCUACGGGAGGCAGCAGUGGGGGAUAUUGCACAAUGGGGGAAACCCUGAUGCAGCAACGCCGCGUGGGUGAAGAAGCGCCUCGGCGCGUAAAGCCCUGUCAGCAGGGAAGAAAAUGACGGUACCUGAAGAAGAAGCCCCGGCUAACUACGUGCCAGCAGCCGCGGUAAUACGUAGGGGGCAAGCGUUAUCCGGAUUUACUGGGUGUAAAGGGCGUGUAGGCGGGAAAGCAAGUCAGAUGUGAAAACCAUGGGCUCAACCUGUGGCCUGCAUUUGAAACUGUUUUUCUUGAGUACUGGAGAGGCAGACGGAAUUCCUAGUGUAGCGGUGAAAUGCGUAGAUAUUAGGAGGAACACCAGUGGCGAAGGCGGCCUGCUGGACCGUGACUGACGUUGAGGCUCGAGAGCGUGGGGAGCAAACAGGAUUAGAUACCCGAGUAA
RNAcentral lists this ribosomal RNA (446 nucleotides) under uncultured bacterium. Its description in RNAcentral is "bacterial SSU rRNA". It matches the Rfam family "Bacterial small subunit ribosomal RNA", at positions 330 to 793 of the family's 1533-position model. The record is from RNAcentral.